GCAUAAUUGCUCGUCAGAGUUCAUAAACUCCGGCGGCUUCUCAACUGCCACCAGAGGCUCGAUUAGUCCUUCCUUGGCCUCCCCUGAGGUUGAUUUGAUCUCCUCUCCACCGUCCCAUGCUCUCCUUCCUCCAGGUGCCCCCGCAACCUCAGAUCCGAUCUUCUUCCCCAACUCUGGCGACUACUCCAGUGAGAUCAAAGAAAUCACGUAAUUCUUUUUUUUUCCGAAAAGUAUCAAUUUAGAAAAUGCAUAUCUAUUAGUAUACUUUUCCAAAUUUAGUGAUUCUUUUUGCUAUAUUUUCAAAUUUUUAUGAAGUUUGAGUUUAUGCCUUUAGUAUCAAAAUUUGAGUAUUUUAAAUUUGAAUUGGCAUGAAUUUUCUCAAACCUUGAAUUGUGAAUAUCUUGAGUUUAAACGCAUAUUUUAAGUUGAUUCUUUUUGCUCCUGGUCACUAGGACCUUUGCCUAUCAAGUAGUAUUUAGUAUUUACUAGCGUAUCCCGCACGGCGGCACGCCGUGCCCAUCCGUCCGCUGCUCCAUAUGUAUACAUCACAUCAUUUGUAUCAAGAGCAUCUCAAGGAAAGAUUAUGUGUGAAGGUAAAUGGUUUCAUUAAUAAUAAUUUUACAUAGGACACGCUCCUAAAAGAGAAAACAGAUAUCAAUACCUUCCAAAGAUUGAUAUUAUGACUAAAUGUAACUUGUAAAAAAUAACAACUGCCUUAAAGCAACUGUCUAGAUCAUUCUGGUAUAACCUCCUAUUGGGCUAGUGCCAAUGAUGAAGUGAUAGAGUGCUUUUGCAAAAUGUUGCAGCCAUCCUACAGGUGGAUGACAACCCGUGAAACUAAUAAUGCGAUCUUCAGUGUACGUACGCUCGGUGUACAUACGUAGUGGCACCACAUCAAAAAAGCCAUCGCAUAUGCGCACUAGGAUUUAUGUUUGCCUUGUGGAUUCAGCUCGCUAAGUGGUCACUUCCUGCCUAGCCAUAUUAAAUUGCCAUUUCUUGGUGCGUAUCUUAUCUUGAGCUAUAAAUAGUAUGCUGAUGAUACAGUUAUCUGUUUUGAACAUGACAGAGAGGCGGCUGAAUCUCAAACUUCUGUUAUACAUGUUCGAGCUUAUGUCAGGGCUAAAAAUCAUCUUCAUGAAAAGUGAGAUCCUCUAUGUUGGGGGAGACAAUGAAACUAUAUCCUUUUAUUCUGGGCUUUUUAAUUGUAGCAUUAGUCACUUCCACACGAAAUACUUGGGGUGCUAGUUAGCUUCUCAACUGUCCGAAUCCUGGACUGGGAGUUUGUGGAUGAAAGAAUCCUGAAAUGUUGUGAGUCUUGGAUUGGCAAUGCAGCCUCUUUGGGUGGGUGACUGAUUCUCCUUAAUUCAUUGCUCACUAGUAUUAUUUACUACUAUAUGUCCAUGUUCUUACUUUCAAAAGGGGUGAUUGAAAAACUAGACGAGCACCACAAGCAUUUUUUCUGGCAAAACACAUGAGGGGCGUAAACGUUACCAUUUGGUGAAAUGGUCCAAAAUUUGUCGCUCGGAAGAGAAAGGGGGCCUGGGGAUAAAAGACCUUCAUAAACAAAAUAUUAGGCUACUCAUCAACUGGCGGUGGAAGCUUGAAACACAGCAAGGGUUGUGGCAAGAUGUGAUUCGGGCAAAAUAUUUUAAGGAAGACACGGUGAGAUCAGUGAAAUUAAAUUUGGUGAUUCCCCGAUUUGGAAGGCCAUUAUGAAAGGUAAAGAAUACUACCUUGCUAGCAGAAAGGUGGUGUUGAAAUAUGGCAACCUUGCUAGAGUGUGGGCUGACUCAGUUGAUAAUGAGCCUCCCCUGCAUUUGCAAUUCCCUAUGUUAUACCGUAUUUGCAAUAAUGAUGUGAUCACUGUUGCAAAAAUCAGAGAGGGAGUGUAGGCCAACUUCUUUAGUAGACACCUCCACCCUCCUCUGCUUGAUAACUGGAGACUUCCAAGCCAUAGUGGGUCAUGGUCUCUCUCUAGUGAGCCUGACCAAGUCGUUUGGAGCCUUGGAAAAAAGAAAUAUAAAUUUACAACUAAAUCUGUGUCGGGGGUUGGGUACGACAUAUGCCAAAGGAUGGCUUAUCAUGGUGGGAGCGAGUAGAAUGUCGCCGGUGCCUGGAAGCGGGAUGAGGCGAAGACAUGCACGCCGGCGGAACUUACCCAGCUUCAGGGCUCUCCUAGGAGAUAACACCCCUACUGCUGCUCUGCGGGGUCUCCGCAUGAUCAUUAAGGAAAAGUAGCUACAAUGGUGCUCCUGGAGCUGUUUCGGGAGGCAGGUCCCUGUGCUAUCUGGUCUAUCUCUAUCUAGGUCCGAACCCUUUGCAUGGCUGCCCUGAGGGGUUUAUAUAGGCCUACCCCCCGGGGGUACAAUAGUAAUCCGGCUGGGCGCGGGUCCCAGCCGUCUGUCUCUCAGGCCGCCGUCUUUCCCGCUGGCUUCUAGGGCCCACCGACUGGCGGGUCCCGCGGACAGGCUUGAUACUGUAGCGACACCCUUGAUGAUGCAGGCUCGGUCAUUGGGUCAUGGCAACAGUGCCGCCGUCUAUCGGGAGAUCACUGUCGCCAUUCCCCAUCCUAUCUGGUUAAUGGCUCAUGGGGCCCUGGGGAGGAGUCGGCCGACUCCUGGGGGGCCGACUCCCACAGGUCCGUCUUUGGGGCGCCCAGGCCGCCUUCGGCCCACCCACUGACAGGCGGCCCCACCGUCUUCGGGCCGUUCAGGCCGGCAUCGUGGGCACAGUGUACUGUGCACUGUGGCUGAGGUCAGGACAGGCAUGGCAACAGUGCCGCAUCUCGCCGGAGAUCUUCCAGCGAUACGGCUCACUGUAGCCAUGUCGGUCCUUCGUAAGCAGGGGGAAACGGCCAUGCCGUGACCAUACCCCACAUCGUACUUCGAUAUGAGGGAGGAGUCUUGGGCCGACUCUCCACAGUCAGCCUCUCUGGAGGUCACCAGCGUGGAGUCGGCUUAUGUUGGAGUCGCCGUCUAGGACUCGGCCUGAGGGGCGCAGCCUGCCCCGAUGUCUUGAAAUGUCCUGGGACUCGGGUUAGCCUACCCGUGGCCCAUUAGUCUGACAAUCUGCCUAUGAGUACUUGGAGAAAAUUUUGGCUGGAUGCAAUUACAAGUGGAUUUGGAGAUCAAAAAUUCCUCUUAAGGUUCAGAUCUUCAUAUGGCAGUUGUUGCAGGAUGCUGUAUUAACUAGAGAUGCUAUGAGCAGAUCCAAAUGGUUGGGGAACCCUACUUGUUCCUUUUGUGAUAGUAGAGAAACCUCCCAACACGUAUUCUCUACCAGUCCAGUGGCUAGAGUCCUCUGGAGGACUGUUAGCUGUGUCCUGGGCAUGGAUUUAUGUCCUAAUAAUAUUUGGUAAUUUUCUAUUAGUGCUACAUGUUCCUUCUAAAUGGGGAGAAGUUUUAUACCUUUGGAUUAGUUGCGUUGUGUUGGGCGAUAUGGAAUAGUCGUAACAGAACCACCUUUGAGUUCAAAAAGAUGAGAUCCCCAUUUGAUGUAGUAUACUCUGCAUGUGGUUACCUUACUUAUUGGGCAGGUCUGCUGAUCGGAGAGGACUGGGAGGCAAUGGAGCAUGGAGCUAAGAUGGUGAGGAUCAAUGGCUCAAACAUGAUGUGAAUCUGUGCGGCACCAGGAGGAUCGAUGAAGAGCUGAAGAUUGAGUGCCCCUGGUGGAUUGUUAUGCUUCUACAUCGCCUGAGUAUUCUUGUUUGCCAUUUGUGUUGGUGAUCGAGUCUUUGUGCCGAGACUGGUCCUUGCUCCAAUGUGAGCUCCUGUUGUGGCCUGGUUAAAAAGACUUGUAAUGGCUCGUAUCAUGGUCUGUUAGGUUGUCCUAGUUGUUUUGGUGUCACUGGGUUUUUGCCCCAUGGUGAACUGCUCGAUGAUGGAUGUUUACCGUGGGUUUCCAGUGAUGCUUUGAACUCGCUUUCCCCUUUCUAGGUUUCGUUGGUGUCAACUGAACUGAUGUAUUUCCGUUAUGCGAGUAAUGGAAAGGGGUUAUGCCCUAUUCAGAAAAAAGUGUGAA
This 4020-nucleotide long non-coding RNA is filed under the name Triticum aestivum (bread wheat). Its description in RNAcentral is "long non-coding RNA (TAES_LNC022352)". The record is from RNAcentral. Lineage: Eukaryota; Viridiplantae; Streptophyta; Magnoliopsida; Poales; Poaceae.